UAGACACAAGUAGAGCGCGCGUCACGU
Molecule: small RNA, 27 nt
Filed under: Bombyx mori (domestic silkworm)
Lineage: Eukaryota; Metazoa; Arthropoda; Insecta; Lepidoptera; Bombycidae
Description: ovarian small RNA-21900
Source: RNAcentral